GACGAACGCUGGCGGCGUGCUUAACACAUGCAAGUCGAACGGAAAGGCCCUGCUUUUGUGGGGUGCUCGAGUGGCGAACGGGUGAGUAACACGUGAGUAACCUGCCCUUGACUUUGGGAUAACUUCAGGAAACUGGGGCUAAUACCGGAUAGGAGCUCCUGCUGCAUGGUGGGGGUUGGAAAGUUUCGGCGGUUGGGGAUGGACUCGCGGCUUAUCAGCUUGUUGGUGGGGUAGUGGCUUACCAAGGCUUUGACGGGUAGCCGGCCUGAGAGGUUGACCGGCCACAUUGGGCCUGAGAUACGGCCCAGACUCCUACGGGAGGCAGCAGUGGGGAAUAUUGCACAAUGGGCGGAAGCCUGAUGCAGCAACGCCGCGUGCGGGAUGACGGCCUUCGGGGUGUAAACCGCUUUCGCCUGUGACGAAGCGUGAGUGACGGUAAUGGGUAAAGAAGCACCGGCUAACUACGUG
RNAcentral lists this ribosomal RNA (468 nucleotides) under uncultured bacterium. RNAcentral describes it as "partial 16S ribosomal RNA". It matches the Rfam family "Bacterial small subunit ribosomal RNA", at positions 28 to 507 of the family's 1533-position model. The record is from RNAcentral.